UUCAUUACGAUCUGUCUAUCAAUGGCAACAAAGCAUGAUCUACUUUAUCAGUAGACAACAAAUCAAUUAUCAAUUCCGUAGUUGACGCAUCUGCAGAAAAACCCUUCCCCACCAUUUGUUGAAUAAGUCCCAUCGCUUCUGAUGGCUCAUUGUUAUUGAAAAAGCCUCGAAUGAUUAUGUUAUAGGUCCAACCAUUUGGAGAACAACCUUUCUCUUCCAUUUCUUUAAGUAAUUUUACCGCUUCGUUUGUUAGCCCUCCGUUGCACAAUCCACCAAUCAUUAUGUUAUACGUCCUGGUAUUAGGUUGAACACCUCUUGAAGAUAAAUUUCGAAAGAGAUCCCUCGCAGAGUCAACUUUCCCACCAAUGCACAAUUCUUCAAUAAGAAUAGCGUAAAUCACAAUAUCUGGCUCUAAAUUCUUACCUUCCAUAUCUCUUAACAAUUGUAUUGCCUCGGGAAAUUGUUGGUUUUUACACAGGCCACCCAAUAAAACAGCAUAGGUUUGAACAUCUGGAAAAUGGCCGCAAGCUUGCAUCUGAGAGACAACUUUUGUGCAUCUUGUGUUCUCCCUACAUUGCAAAAACCGUCCAUGAGAGUGGUGUUGAACACCUCUUGAAGAUAAAUUUCGAAAGAGAUC
This 637-nucleotide small RNA is filed under the name Malus domestica (apple). Its description in RNAcentral is "sRNA MD03G0086200". Lineage: Eukaryota; Viridiplantae; Streptophyta; Magnoliopsida; Rosales; Rosaceae. The record is from RNAcentral.